UGUCUGGUGGGUAGUUUGACUGGGGCGGUCUCCUCCUAAAGAGUAACGGAGGAGCACGAAGGUUGGCUAAUCCUGGUCGGACAUCAGGAGGUUAGUGCAAUGGCAUAAGCCAGCUUGACUGCGAGCGUGACGGCGCGAGCAGGUGCGAAAGCAGGUCAUAGUGAUCCGGUGGUUCUGAAUGGAAGGGCCAUCGCUCAACGGAUAAAAGGUACUCCGGGGAUAACAGGCUGAUACCGCCCAAGAGUUCAUAUCGACGGCGGUGUUUGGCACCUCGAUGUCGGCUCAUCACAUCCUGGGGCUGAAGUAGGUCCCAAGGGUAUGGCUGUUCGCCAUUUAAAGUGGUACGCGAGCUGGGUUUAGAACGUCGUGAGACAGUUCGGUCCCUAUCUGCCGUGGGCGCUGGAGAACUGAGGGGGGCUGCUCCUAGUACGAGAGGACCGGAGUGGACGCAUCACUGGUGUUCGGGUUGUCAUGCCAAUGGCACUGCCCGGUAGCUAAAUGCGGAAGAGAUAAGUGCUGAAAGCAUCUAAGCACGAAACUUGCCCCGAGAUGAGUUCUCCCUGACCCUUUAAGGGUCCUGAAGGAACGUUGAAGACGACGACGUUGAUAGGCCGGGUGUGUAAGCGCAGCGAUGCGUUGAGCUAACCGGUACUAAUGAACCGUGAGG
Molecule: ribosomal RNA, 667 nt
Filed under: Escherichia coli
Lineage: Bacteria; Pseudomonadati; Pseudomonadota; Gammaproteobacteria; Enterobacterales; Enterobacteriaceae
Also listed under: 1 other name
Description: partial 23S ribosomal RNA
Rfam family: Bacterial large subunit ribosomal RNA
Source: RNAcentral